RNAcentral lists this long non-coding RNA (2269 nucleotides) under Hordeum vulgare. RNAcentral describes it as "long non-coding RNA (HVUL_LNC008877)". The record is from RNAcentral. Lineage: Eukaryota; Viridiplantae; Streptophyta; Magnoliopsida; Poales; Poaceae.
UUAAAAAAUGAACACUAAAAUAGAAAAUAGUUUCAAGCAAAAUAAGAAGUCUAACAUAAAGUACAAAAUUAAGACACACCUAAGCCGAAGCUCCUUGAUGGCGUCGAGCUCCUUGAUUUUCGAGGGUGUCGUAGCUCACCAUGUGUGUUGUUCCAACCUUUUUUGGAGUAACAUAAGACAAGGAGAAAUAUUGGACUUGCUUGAAGGUUGCAGCAAGCUGGAAUGAAUUCUAACUUCUUCACUUGAUGCAUCAUAUGUAGCUUAGCUUCGGUGUCUGAAAAAAUGACUUAAAAAUACGGAUAAUCUGGCAUUCGAAGAGGAAAGAUAUAUAACCUAGAAUGAAUUCUAACUUCUUCACUUGAUGCAUCAUAUGUAGCUUAGCUUCGGUAUGUGAAAAAAUGACUUAAAAAUACGGAUAAUCUGGCAUUGGAAGAGGAAAGAUAUAUAACCUAAUAUCUUUCGGCAUUUGCAUAUAAAGGUCGAGGUAUCACCUGCAGAAACUGCAACAUAUCAAUCACUAAAAAAACUCAAACAGAAAUCUGUUGUGAGUAACUGGAAAUCAUAAAAAAUAUCAAUAGUCCCAACAUAUAUAACCAGUGAACGGAAAGCAUAGUGUAAAAUCAUAAUAUUAGGUAGGUCCUUUGCUGAGCACAUAGUAAAAAAAAGGAGAUCAAAAAAUUUAAAGGCCUUAGUAGAAUUUAAAGGUUGCACAAUUCUUGUGAAAUUAUGAAAGUAAUUUAUCAAUAAUCCAUAUUUGGUUUCCCGUUGCACCUUGUUAGACCAGGGACCAUAUAUGUCCGAGUCCAACAUUAUUCCAAAUGUUGUUUCCGACUAGCUUUAACUUUCUCUCAUCUACUACAACUUAUCCAUUGUAGGCCAGGAGUAUAAGUAUGAGCACAAAUAUGAAUUAAAAAACAUUUCUUAUGCAUAGAGUAAUGCACCAGAAUCCAGAACAUAAAUAAUAAACAAUUAAUCGUAAAUAGAUAAUUGAGUCAGGAUCACAAUUUAAUUCUUUAUUUUGAAAAUUUUAUCUGCUUGUGUUGAAUUGAUCACAAGGCUGGAACUGCAGGAGAGGGAAUUACAGGGAUAAAACUUGAAGAUGAAUCAGCCUCCUCCACGAUGACUUUCACCAAGUAGGAGGAGAUCCCCGUCUCCGAGGGCCAUACAGGCGAAACACCCUCCACUCCAUGGUUUUCCUUACCUGCAAUUUUUCCGCCACUGAUCAAUGAGCAUUAUCAACACGCAAAAACUCUUUUCAAUUGACGUGAAAUUAAAGCUUCUAGACUCUAGAUCUACCUCACAUGUGAAGAAUUGUGGCUUCUUAAUGGGGGCAUGCGUGUCUCCAAUGUCGUUUGCUUGGCGCCAUCAGAAAAGAAAGGUACCAACAAGUCCUGCAGCUUGCCUUGGAUCAGUGCAGUCAACAUGCGCCACCAACAUCAGAUGUCGUGCUAGUGACCGAGAUGAUCCGAUAGUCCUAACCAAUGACCUCAUACAACAUACGUUAUUGAAUAAAGCUUAAGGUUCUUGUAGCAAUUGCUUGUGUAUAUAAUGUACUCCCUCUCACCUAUUCAAAUGCUGAAACGAUAUACGACACUGUAGAAUAAAACAAUGUCUCCACAAUUGCACUAACCUUGGUAUCUCUACAAGUGGUUGGCAUUGGCAGUAUGUUGAUUUAGAUCCUUGCGUCAUUGAAGUAUGAAAUUGAAAAGAUUUAUUUAUGUACUACAGAGAGAGAGAGAGAGAACCAUGGCUCUUUUAGCUUCUUGUGGCUACAGGUCAAGAGGCAUAGGCAGCGCAUCGACUUCGAAUGCCCUGCCAAGAACGACUGCUCCAUGUGAUGGAUUGCAGCAGAGCAGCUGAUCCUGAAUACCCAGAAGUCGCAACAAAAAAUUGUUUGAAAACUACAUCAUAUUAUUAGUGUCGACACUCUAAUCAGACAACAUUCAGCGACAUGUGUGGCUUAACCUAGGAACUCGCACUCUCUGACUCGGCUGGGAAACGCCGGAAUCAGUCAGCAACUAAGCCCGUCUUGUACGCACCAAUCCAUCCAUCUAGAACCACCAACGGGGUCAGCAAGAGCGCCAGUCCCUACCCGGAGACGAACGGAGCGCCAGAUCCAUAGUUCAGCGCCCGCAACAAACGAAUCUAAUGGGGCCGGCCACCCGCGCGCAGACGCGGCCGUGGGGCGAAGGGAGCGAUCGGCGAUGGGGCUUCGCGGGAGAGGAGGAGGGGGAGGGCAUGACCGGUGGUUGAUUGGGUGGUCAGUUAC